GGGGCAGAUUAGGAUUCGACGGGAUACACGAAACCCAAGGUGCAUGUCGAGGGGCGGUUGGCCUCGUAAAAAGCCGCAAAAAAAUAGUCGCAAACGACGAAAACUACGCACUAGCAGCUUAAUAACCUGCAUAGGCCCUCCCACUUCAGCCGUUGUCUUUUCGUGAAGGCUCGGGAGGUCAUACUAAAAGACUAGCGAGGGAACCUCGUCUGAGGGUGAACCGCGAAAUCGUAUCAGACCAGCCACGAGAAAUCCUGUUUGUCGGAGUUCAACUGGUUAAAUAAAAGACAGACUAAACAUGUAGGACCGAGGAUGUAGGUAUUGCGGACGGGGGUUCAAAUCCCCCCUGCUCCACCA
This 357-nucleotide transfer-messenger RNA is filed under the name Planctobacterium marinum. It matches the Rfam family "transfer-messenger RNA". Rfam says of the family: Bacterial tmRNA, also known as 10Sa RNA or SsrA, is named for its dual tRNA and mRNA-like properties. Its role is to liberate the mRNA from a stalled ribosome. The record is from RNAcentral. Lineage: Bacteria; Pseudomonadati; Pseudomonadota; Gammaproteobacteria; Alteromonadales; Alteromonadaceae.